Molecule: ribosomal RNA, 503 nt
Filed under: uncultured bacterium
Lineage: Bacteria
Description: partial 16S ribosomal RNA
Rfam family: Bacterial small subunit ribosomal RNA
Source: RNAcentral
AUUGAACGCUGGCGGCAGGCUUAACACAUGCAAGUCGAGCGGGGUGAUGGUGCUUGCACUAUCACUUAGCGGCGGACGGGUGAGUAAUGCUUAGGAAUCUGCCUAUUAGUGGGGGACAACAUCUCGACAGGGAUGCUAAUACCGCAUACGUCCUAUGGGAGAAAGCAGGGGAUCACUUGUGACCUUGCGCUAAUAGAUGAGCCUAAGUCGGAUUAGCUAGUUGGUGGGGUAAAGGCCUACCAAGGCGACGAUCUGUAGCGGGUCUGAGAGGAUGAUGCGCAACACUGGGACUGAGACCCGGCCCAGACUCCUACGGGAGGCAGCAGUAGGGAAUAUGGGACAAUGGGGGGAACCCUGAUCCAGCCAUGCGGCGUGUGUGAAGAAGGCCUUAUGGUUGUAAAGCACUUUAAGCGAGGAGGAGGCUCUUUUGGUUAAUACCCAAGAUGAGUGGACGUUACUCGCAGAAUAAGCACCGGCUAACUCUGUGCCAGCAGCCGCGGUAA